Molecule: unclassified non-coding RNA, 371 nt
Filed under: uncultured fungus
Lineage: Eukaryota; Fungi
Description: sequence contains ITS1
Rfam family: 5.8S ribosomal RNA (bases 1-102)
Source: RNAcentral
UGAAAUGCGAUAACUAGUGUGAAUUGCAUUACUUUGUGAAUCAUCGAGUCUUUGAACGCAUAUUGCACUUUUUGUAGAAAAAGUAUGCCUGUUUGAGUAUCAUGAACACCCCCUCCACACGCUUGUGUGGGACUUGGGCUGUAGGGCUUUUUAUUAUAAUAAACCCUUGGCCUCAAAAUUUACUUGGGUGGCACUGACGGGUGGGGUCAGCAGUCGACGCGCAACAAGACCAGUUAGGCCAAGUUUGCAUUGACGCCGUCUCCGUCGCCAGUGUCGCAAGCCCAAGGCUGUGCGUCUAAUCUCCUGUAAGGGAGGGCGGACAACUUUACCACUUUGAUCUCAAAUCAGGCAAGACUACCCGCUGAACUUAA